AGGAAAGGAAAACAUCACAAGGGAGAAUGACAAUGAAAAGGAAGGAAGGAAGGAAGGUAUGAGGCUGGACGAAGGAACACUGGGAAGGAAGGAAGGAAGGUAUGAGGCUGGACGAAGGAACACUGGGAAGGAAGGAAGGAAGGUAUGAGGCUGGACGAAGGAACACUGGGAAGGAAGGAAGGAAGGUAUGAGGCUGGACGAAGGAACACUGGGAAGGAAGGAAGGAAGGUAUGAGGCUGGACGAAGGAACACUGGGAAGGAAGGAAGGAAGGUAUGAGGCUGGACGAAGGAACACUGGGAAGGAAGGAAGGAAGGUAUGAGGCUGGACGAAGGAACACUGGGAAGGAAGGAAGGAAGGAAGGAAGGUAUAAGGCUGGACGAAGGAACACUGGGAAGGAAGGAAGGAAGGUAUGAGGCUGGACGAAGGAACACUGGGAAGGAAGGAAGGAAGGAAGGUCUGAGGGUGGACGAAGGAACACUGGGAAGGAAGGAAGGAAGGAAGGUCUGAGGGUGGACGAAGGAACACUGGGAAGGAAGGAAGGAAGGAAGGUCUGAGGGUGGACGAAGGAACACUGGGAAGGAAGGAAGGAGGGA
Long non-coding RNA from Eriocheir sinensis (Chinese mitten crab), 594 nucleotides. RefSeq lists it as uncharacterized. The record is from RefSeq and is a predicted model, not a curated record. NCBI's taxonomy places the organism in Eukaryota, Metazoa, Arthropoda, Malacostraca, Decapoda, Varunidae. The transcript has 5 exons.